Long non-coding RNA from Manacus vitellinus (golden-collared manakin), 379 nucleotides. RefSeq lists it as uncharacterized. Lineage: Eukaryota; Metazoa; Chordata; Aves; Passeriformes; Pipridae. The record is from RefSeq and is a predicted model, not a curated record. The transcript is spliced from 3 exons.
GCAGAACUGCCCAGGAGGGCCCACGGAAAAUGGAGCGGCUUUUAUCCCACUCACUGGGCACUGAAUCUCUGGAAGGGGAUUCCACACUUUCUGGACUUGGGUUGAUCUUUUUGCACUGUCCCACCCCGAUGGAAAGGGAAAAAAGCUUUGCCACCAGCCCCGAGGUGAGGACACCCCAGCAUGGAUCUGUGAUGCAUACCAGAACAUUCGUGCAAGAAGAAGGAACAAUGGCCCAGCUCCAUUUCUUGUGUAGUCUGCAACUUCCUAGCGCGUCUGACACGCUGGGAACCCACGCGCAACACGGUGAUGGAAAACUUGGAGACCGAAUGGAAGUGAAGAAAAGCCCUUGGUGUAAUUUUACAGCGUGUGAAAGACUUAA